GGCUUUCUUCGUGGCGGAGCCAGGCCGCUCACACAACAGAUGAUCGAUUACGUCGAUGCGAACAAGGACGAAUUCGGGGUCGAGCCGAUCUGCAGCCAACUGCCGAUCGCCCCG
marine actinobacterium PHSC20C1 is the source of this 114-nucleotide regulatory RNA element. It matches the Rfam family "ALIL pseudoknot". NCBI's taxonomy places the organism in Bacteria, Bacillati, Actinomycetota, Actinomycetes. The record is from Rfam.